RNAcentral lists this small RNA (1735 nucleotides) under Pongo abelii (Sumatran orangutan). Its description in RNAcentral is "processed transcript". The record is from RNAcentral. Lineage: Eukaryota; Metazoa; Chordata; Mammalia; Primates; Hominidae.
CCACUGCCUCGAAAGGCCUCUGGGGGUGGUCGGCGCGCCCCUCCCCACCUCGCGGGGGCCGUGUGGGCGUCGCUCGGUCGUCGGGGUGCCGGGACGUCGUGAUGAGAACGGCGUCCCAGAGACGGCGGUGACAGAGCCGGGACACGUGACAGUCACAGCGUCACAUUCUGCGGUCCACGAAUUUGGGACCGGGCUGGUCACGUGACGCUGUGGGGGCACCAUGGGGUGAUGUGAGAUGCGGGUGUCUCGGAUUACGUACAAAUGACGUAUUCCUACCCCUUUUGGCAACCAGAUUUCCGUUGGAAGACGCAACGGUUCCGGUGACGGUAGCGAGUUCUCGCGCCCAGGCAGCUCCGCUUCCGCUCGGGGCGCAACAACUUCCGACUCCGCCUUCCCAGCCUUGGGCAAGGAAGAGACGCGACCAUGGGGAUGACAGCUCGGACGAAGAGGACAAGGAGCGGGUCGCGCUGGUGUUGCACCCGGGCACGGCACGGCUGGGGAGCCCGGACGAGGAGUUCUUCCAGAAGGUCCGGACAAUUCGGCAGACUAUUGUCAAGCUGGGGAAUAAAGUCCAGGAGUUGGAGAAACAGCAGGUCACCAUCCUGGCCACGCCCCUUCCCGAGGAGGGCAUGAAGCAGGAGCUGCAGAACCUGCGCGAUGAGAUCAAACAGCUGGGGAGGGAGAUCCGCCUGCAGCUGAAGGCCAUAGAGCCCCAGAAGGAGGAAGCUGAUGAGAACUAUAACUCCAUCAACACAAGAAUGAGAAAAACCCAGGUGGAAUUCAAGAAGUCAGGAAGAGGAACUUCCUUGGGGCGACACUGAAGAGGAACUCCCCUGCAUGGGGUCCUGUCCCAGCAAUUCGUGGAGCUCAUCAACAAGUGCAAUUCAAUGCAGUCCGAAUACCGGGAGAAGAACGUGGAGCGGAUCCGGAGGCAGCUGAAGAUCAGUGAGUUGUGCGUGCCCAGCCUGGCCCACAGGGGCAGGUAAUCCCAACCCAGCCCUGAGCCUGGCCUUUUCCUUCACAGCCAAUGCUGGGAUGGUGUCUGACGAGGAGCUGGAGCAGAUGCUGGACAGUGGGCAAAGCGAGGUGUUUGUGUCCAAUAUCCUGAAGGACACGCAGGUGACUCGACAGGCCUUAAAUGAGAUCUCGGCCCGGCACAGUGAGAUCCAGCAGCUUGAACGCAGUAUUCGUGAGCUGCACGACAUCUUCACUUUUCUGGCUACUGAAGUGGAGAUGCAGGGGGAGAUGAUCAAUCGGAUUGAGAAGAACAUCCUGAGCUCAGCGGACUACGUGGAACGCGGGCAAGAGCACGUCAAGACGGCCCUGGAGAACCAGAAGAAGGCGAGGAAGGUGAGCCUCCCAGGCCCGGCCACUGUCCCAGGCACCCUGUGUGUCUUCCCUGACCCCCUCCUCUCCCACAGAAGAAAGUCUUGAUUGCCAUCUGUGUGUCCAUCACCGUCGUCCUCCUAGCAGUCAUCAUUGGCAUCACAGUGGUUGGAUAAUGUCGCACAUUGUUGGCACUAGGAGCACCAGGGACCCAGGGCCUGGCCUUCUGUCCCAGCAGCCUGGGGGGCAGGGCAGAGCCUCCAGUCGGACCCCUUCCUCACACUGGCCCCUAUGCAGAAGGGCAGACAGUUCUUCUGGGGUUGGCAGCUGCUCAUUCAUGGUGGCCUCCUCCUUCAGGCCUCAAUGCCUGAGGGAGGCCUGCACUGUCCUGAUUGGCCAGGACACACGA